GCUUGACCUCAGACCUGGCUGAUUUUAUUGCUUUCACCCAAUGACCACUGGAGCAUCGGUAGGACUUGCCACUACUCUGAUUGACCAGCUCCUGUGCCAUGGGACUGCGCUCUGUCGAAUGUGGACUUCAUCCCACAAUCUUACACUGAAGAAAAAAGAGCUACAAAGAAUAAUGAUCCAUGAAUUCUAGAGAGGGACACGGUUCCUCGGCUGGACUCCUUUUUCUAAGAGGCAUGUGCAGUCAUCUAACAGCUAUGAGUCAGCUGAAUGUGGUGGAAGUGUAUAUUGUGGGAUGUGUCAUGGUUACCAUGGCAUACAGUGAGCAAAGGAGCACAAGCAUGAGGGAGCACAGGUCCCCUAAUGGCAGGCACAGGUAAAUGAAGAACAAUUAAGAACUGUUGGAAUGAUUCACCUAAGUGGGAAGAGCGGUUCCACACUCUCAGGUCUGUAUAU
Long non-coding RNA from Gymnogyps californianus (California condor), 453 nucleotides. RefSeq lists it as uncharacterized. The record is from RefSeq and is a predicted model, not a curated record. NCBI's taxonomy places the organism in Eukaryota, Metazoa, Chordata, Aves, Accipitriformes, Cathartidae. The transcript has 4 exons.